UACGUAGGGGGCAAGCGUUGUCCGGAAUCAUUGGGCGUAAAGAGCGUGUAGGCGGCCAGAAAAGUCCGCUGUGAAAACUCGAGGCUCAACUUCGAGCUGUCGGUGGAAACUUUCUGGCUAGAGUCCGGAAGAGGAGAAUGGAAUUCCUGGUGUAGCGGUGAAAUGCGCAGAUAUCAGGAAGAACACCCGUGGCGAAGGCGGUUCUCUGGGACGGUACUGACGCUGAGACGCGAAAGCGUGGGGAGCGAGCAGG
Molecule: ribosomal RNA, 253 nt
Filed under: uncultured bacterium
Lineage: Bacteria
Description: partial 16S ribosomal RNA
Rfam family: Bacterial small subunit ribosomal RNA
Source: RNAcentral